GAUGAACGCUGGCGGCGUGCCUAAUACAUGCAAGUCGAGCGAACGGACGAGAAGCUUGCUUUUCUGAUGUUAGCGGCGGACGGGUGAGUAACACGUGGAUAACCUACCUUUAAGACUGGGAUAACUUCGGGAAACCGGAGCUAAUACCGGAUAAUAUUUUGUACCGCAUGGUUCAACAUUGAAAGACGGUCUUGCUUUCACUUAUAGAUGGAUCCGCGCUGCAUUAGCUAGUUGGUAAGGUAACGGCUUACCAAGGCAACGAUGCAUAGCCGACCUGAGAGGGUGAUCGGCCACACUGGAACUGAGACACGGUCCAGACUCCUACGGGAGGCAGCAGUAGGGAAUCUUCCGCAAUGGGCGAAAGCCUGACGGAGCAACGCCGCGUGAGUGAUGAAGGUCUUCGGAUCGUAAAACUCUGUUAUUAGGGAAGAACAUAUGUGUAAGUAACUGUGCACAUCUUGACGGUACCUAAUCAGAAAGCCACGGCUAACUACGUG
This 497-nucleotide ribosomal RNA is filed under the name uncultured bacterium. Its description in RNAcentral is "partial 16S ribosomal RNA". It matches the Rfam family "Bacterial small subunit ribosomal RNA", at positions 28 to 507 of the family's 1533-position model. The record is from RNAcentral.